CUAUAUAAGCGCUGGCGCUGUGCGGCUCCUUCCUUUUCCUUGGUCUUCAGCCUCGAUCAGGUUCAGGGUGCGAUUUUGUUGGGGUCCUUGGCGUGGCGGACACGUGUGGUGCCGUUGUUGCCGGUGAUACCACGUGGCAGGAUUUAGUGGAUUGGCUGCCAGGACCCCAACAUCUACGAUAAAGAACUGCUCAACUUCUUCGGAUCAGCAUCGGGAUUCUUCCCUCUGGCCGAGCACAAUUUUUAUGACCCCGGCUGACCUCGUAAUGGAGAUGGAGUCGUGAACUUUGGACUACUGAACUCGAGAGACUGGCGAGAAAUCGUCCAGGGAGUUUCUGCGGAGCCACGUGUCACGGAGACCUGCUAUGAUAAGUGACCACUGUUAUCCUUCACCCACGCGUCAGAAAUAAUUCGAACCCACAGUGUAGUUUAAAUUAGAUUAAUCAAAAAUGUAUUUCGGUCCAUAGUGUAAACUUUAAAAUAAUUUCGGGUUGUGUUAAACUUGUUCGUUUAAUCCAUAAAAGGAAGGAAAAAUUGUUUGUUCAUUCUAAUUUGUAUUAGGGUUGAAAUUAUGUUACCUUGUAUUAAAGUACUUUCUGCAUUA
Molecule: long non-coding RNA, 603 nt
Organism: Melitaea cinxia (Glanville fritillary)
Lineage: Eukaryota; Metazoa; Arthropoda; Insecta; Lepidoptera; Nymphalidae
Exons: 2
Source: RefSeq, a predicted model, not a curated record